RNAcentral lists this microRNA precursor (159 nucleotides) under Oryza brachyantha (malo sina). Its description in RNAcentral is "MIR812 microRNA precursor family". It matches the Rfam family "MIR812 microRNA precursor family", at positions 27 to 191 of the family's 205-position model. The record is from Rfam by way of RNAcentral. Lineage: Eukaryota; Viridiplantae; Streptophyta; Magnoliopsida; Poales; Poaceae.
UAUAAUGUUUGACUCUUCGUCUUAUUUAAAACUUUUUACGAUUAAUAUUUUUAUUGUUACUAGAUGAUAAAUAGUACUUUAUGAUUGACUAAUUUUCUUACGUUUUUCUUUAAAAAAAUUAAAUAAGACGGAUGAUCAAAUGUUGGAUACAGAAAUCGA